This is a non-coding RNA of Penaeus vannamei (Pacific white shrimp), 425 nucleotides long. The record is from RefSeq and is a predicted model, not a curated record. Lineage: Eukaryota; Metazoa; Arthropoda; Malacostraca; Decapoda; Penaeidae.
UCAACCACGAGGUCUUUCGCUAAUUGCUUGUUUAUGACUUGAAGACUGAUCACACGCAUCGCUCAUUGUCUAUCCACGCAUGCGCAGUGUCAGCCCCGAAGACGCGUGGACAGAACACGACGAAUGAGUUGGUAAACAAACCUCGUAGCGUCAUGGACAUAACUGCGUCGGUGAUAAGAGCAGACGUCUUGCCCUUUACGUGGACCCAGUGGGGGGCGGAAUCAGUGGGAGGCGCCCUUGGAGUGUAUCCUCAAGACGAAGAUCCACGCGUAUCCUUGUCACCCAAGUCUCUGAAUGCCACUGGCACGGAUGUCCUUCGGUAGUCGUUUUUCCCGGAUUUGUCCUUCAUCGAGAGUGCCCUGUGCAGUGUGGCCUUCGCCGUCUUCCUGAGCAAAGCAAACUACUGAACGAAUAGGGACGUGGAU